RNAcentral lists this long non-coding RNA (595 nucleotides) under Olea europaea (common olive). RNAcentral's name for it is "long non-coding RNA (OEUR_LNC004197)". Lineage: Eukaryota; Viridiplantae; Streptophyta; Magnoliopsida; Lamiales; Oleaceae. The record is from RNAcentral.
AAAUUUAGAACUAGACGGGACAUAAACUUUUGUGAGAGCUCGAUUUUCUCAAAAUCUUCUCAUAAAACUCUCGUCGUAUAGGCAAUACCAUACAAGCUCUACUCCAAAUAGGAACAUCUACAGACAAGACUAUUUCUAAGACAGGUAACUCUUGAAGAUUCUCCUAUGAAACCUAUUUUUGCAACUUGAGAAAUAAGUAGUAGGAAAAUUAUUUACAAGCAAAAAGUAAAGGAAUAUCAUUGCUUUCACGAAAAGAAAGUCAUCAGUAACAUAGAAAGUCUGUAGAUCAGACCAAAUACGUGUAUAAAAACACUCAAUUCACACUCUUCCCAAUCCCAUUACUUGAUCUACUCUACCCACAAUAUUGGCUCAUAACUGAAAGGGAAGAGUAGAAGAUAAAACAGGUAUGAGGUCUGAAUUUUCUUCUGUAAAAAUCUCAACCCACAUUGUAAUUUAGUCCAAUAAAUAUUGACAACAAAGGUGGAAGAUAGUACAGAUCUAUUGAUUUUCCAAUUUUCUUCAGUGAAUCCUCUGUUUGAAGGGAGAAAAAAAUGGCUGAGGUUUCUGCUAAGAGUUUCAUACCUGAAUCAUUNNN